UGUAGCAAGGUUAACCGAAUAGGGGAGCCGAAGGGAAACCGAGUCUUAACUGGGCGUUAAGUUGCAGGGUAUAGACCCGAAACCCGGUGAUCUAGCCAUGGGCAGGUUGAAGGUUGGGUAACACUAACUGGAGGACCGAACCGACUAAUGUUGAAAAAUUAGCGGAUGACUUGUGGCUGGGGGUGAAAGGCCAAUCAAACCGGGAGAUAGCUGGUUCUCCCCGAAAGCUAUUUAGGUAGCGCCUCGUGAAUUCAUCUCCGGGGGUAGAGCACUGUUUCGGCAAGGGGGUCAUCCCGACUUACCAACCCGAUGCAAACUGCGAAUACCGGAGAAUGUUAUCACGGGAGACACACGGCGGGUGCUAACGUCCGUCGUGAAGAGGGAAACAACCCAGACCGCCAGCUAAGGUCCCAAAGUCAUGGUUAAGUGGGAAACGAUGUGGGAAGGCCCAGACAGCCAGGAUGUUGGCUUAGAAGCAGCCAUCAUUUAAAGAAAGCGUAAUAGCUCACUGGUCGAGUCGGCCUGCGCGGAAGAUGUAACGGGGCUAAACCAUGCACCGAAGCUGCGGCAGCGACACUGUGUGUUGUUGGGUAGGGGAGCGUUCUGUAAGCCUGUGAAGGUGUGCUGUGAGGCAUGCUGGAGGUAUCAGAAGUGCGAAUGCUGACAUAAGUAACGAUAAAGCGGGUGAAAAGCCCGCUCGCCGGAAGACCAAGGGUUCCUGUCCAACGUUAAUCGGGGCAGGGUGAGUCGACCCCUAAGGCGAGGCCGAAAGGCGUAGUCGAUGGGAAACAGGUUAAUAUUCCUGUACUUGGUGUUACUGCGAAGGGGGGACGG
RNAcentral lists this ribosomal RNA (834 nucleotides) under Escherichia coli. RNAcentral describes it as "partial 23S ribosomal RNA". It matches the Rfam family "Bacterial large subunit ribosomal RNA", at positions 636 to 1475 of the family's 2925-position model. The record is from RNAcentral. Lineage: Bacteria; Pseudomonadati; Pseudomonadota; Gammaproteobacteria; Enterobacterales; Enterobacteriaceae.